This 842-nucleotide ribosomal RNA is filed under the name uncultured bacterium. Its description in RNAcentral is "bacterial SSU rRNA". It matches the Rfam family "Bacterial small subunit ribosomal RNA", at positions 8 to 840 of the family's 1533-position model. The record is from RNAcentral.
AGAGUUUGAUCCUGGCUCAGGAUGAACGCUAGCUACAGGCUUAACACAUGCAAGUCGAGGGGAAACGAUAUUGGAAGCUUGCUUCCGAUAGGCGUCGACCGGCGCACGGGUGAGUAACGCGUAUCCAACCUGCCCACCACUUGGGGAUAACCUUGCGAAAGUAAGACUAAUACCCAAUGAUAUCUCUAGAAGACAUCUGAAAGAGAUUAAAGAUUUAUCGGUGAUGGAUGGGGAUGCGUCUGAUUAGCUUGUUGGCGGGGUAACGGCCCACCAAGGCAACGAUCAGUAGGGGUUCUGAGAGGAAGGUCCCCCACAUUGGAACUGAGACACGGUCCAAACUCCUACGGGAGGCAGCAGUGAGGAAUAUUGGUCAAUGGACGAGAGUCUGAACCAGCCAAGUAGCGUGCAGGAUGACGGCCCUAUGGGUUGUAAACUGCUUUUAUAAGGGAAUAAAGUGAGUCUCGUGAGACUUUUUGCAUGUACCUUAUGAAUAAGGACCGACUAAUUCCGUGCCAGCAGCCGCGGUAAUACGGAAGGUCCGGGCGUUAUCCGGAUUUAUUGGGUUUAAAGGGAGCGUAGGCCGGAGAUUAAGCGUGUUGUGAAAUGUAGACGCUCAACGUCUGCACUGCAGCGCGAACUGGUUUCCUUGAGUACGCACAAAGUGGGCGGAAUUCGUGGUGUAGCGGUGAAAUGCUUAGAUAUCACGAAGAACUCCGAUUGCGAAGGCAGCUCACUGGAGCGCAACUGACGCUGAAGCUCGAAAGUGCGGGUAUCGAACAGGAUUAGAUACCCUGGUAGUCCGCACGGUAAACGAUGAAUGCCCGCUGUUGGCCUGAAUAGGU